Molecule: transfer RNA, 73 nt
Organism: Paramecium tetraurelia
Lineage: Eukaryota; Ciliophora; Oligohymenophorea; Peniculida; Parameciidae
Rfam family: tRNA
About the family: Transfer RNA (tRNA) molecules are approximately 80 nucleotides in length.
Source: Rfam
GGCCGUCUGGCUCAAUUGGUAGAGCACCAGAUUUCGGGUCUGGGGGUUUAGGGUUCAAGUCCCUAGGUGGUCG